Acanthopagrus latus (yellowfin seabream) is the source of this 1010-nucleotide long non-coding RNA. RefSeq lists it as uncharacterized. The transcript has 3 exons. Lineage: Eukaryota; Metazoa; Chordata; Actinopteri; Spariformes; Sparidae. The record is from RefSeq and is a predicted model, not a curated record.
UGAGAGUUUAUCAAGUACCUUAAUACGGGUACAUGGUGACGAAAUACUGUUAAUAUAAUGUAGUGUAUGGUUCAAGAGGAACAGCUCAGUGGCCACAUAGUCGGCCCACAGUUCAUUGCACAAUGGUGGCCCGGUGUGUUUUUUAUGCUGAGUCGUCUCACAGGCUAAUUUUUGUGUUAGCAAAACAACGUUAGCAACUGACAGCUAGCUUACAGCAACGAUAUGGCAAAUCAACUCAGUAAACACAAUUCAACGUUAUCCGUCAAAUAUAAAGUGUAUAGGACACAUGCCCGAUAAAAACAAGCCGACGUGAUCAUUUGUAUUAUGUUGUUUUACAUGAAAACGAUGUUGUCUACGGGCCAGCUUUUGCACAGCCUCUAGCAUUACGUUAGCAGGUUAGCACUGUGCCCCGGCUAAAUUAAAUUAAGGUCCUGACAGCGGUGACAGAAACAUACGACCCACAUCCAACUUCUAGUCGGUUCACUCGGCUACAUUAAAUGGCUCCAAUAAAUAAAUACAAAGUGGGUCACGUUGGAUAACACGCAUUUAUGUACGCGGGUGUUGAGCUAAAUGUUGGAUUUUAUCGCGAAUGCUUUUCUUCAGUUUAGACUGUGCUAGCCUCUGAGCUAGGUUAGCUUCAGUAGCAAGUCGGCUAGUGGCAAGACCAUUUGAACUAAGGUUGUUCCCCUCCCAUGUCACCAGUGACUGCACAGAUGGAAACGGAGAGAAGAGACAAUGGGGGGACAAAACAACACAGGACAGUUUUAGCGGCCUGAACAAAAGUUACGUCAAGAGAGAGGAUGAAUGGGCUGCCUGAGGUGUAGCCACUGGGGAAGAAUUAGAGGAAAACGGAAAACAGCGAGCAGGGAAAAUCUGAUACAGAGCUGACAGGAAUUCUCUUAGAUUCCUUGGCAGAUUUCCUUGAACUUAUCAUAGCAGCUGAACACAAAAGACACUCCUUGGCUUCAAGGUAGCAAAACAGGGGCACAGGCACUCACAACAAAUGAGAA